AAACAGGAUUAGAUACCCUGGUUAGUCCACGCCGUAAACGAUGUUGACUUUGGAAGGCUGUUCCCCUGAGGAGUGGCUUCCGGAGCUAACGCGUUAAGUCGACCGCCUGGGGAGUACGGCCGCAAGGUUAAAACUCAAAUGAAUUGACGGGGGCCCGCACAAGCGGUGGAGCAUGUGGUUUAAAUUCGAUGCAACGCGAAGAACCUUACCUACUCUUGACAUCCACGGAAUUUGGCAGAGAUGCCUUAGUGCCUUCGGGAACCGUGAGACAGGUGCUGCAUGGCUGUCGUCAGCUCGUGUUGUGAAAUGUUGGGUUAAGUCCCGCAACGAGCGCAACCCUUAUCCUUUGUUGCCAGCGAUUCGGUCGGGAACUCAAAGGAGACUGCCGGUGAUAAACCGGAGGAAGGUGGGGAUGACGUCAAGUCAUCAUGGCCCUUACGAGUAGGGCUACACACGUGCUACAAUGGCGCAUACAAAGAGAAGCGACCUCGCGAGAGCAAGCGGACCUCAUAAAGUGCGUCGUAGUCCGGAUCGGAGUCUGUAACUCGACUCCGCGAAGUCGGAAUCGCUAGUAAUCGUGGAUCAGAAUGCCACCGGUGAUAUAGCGUU
RNAcentral lists this ribosomal RNA (609 nucleotides) under uncultured bacterium. Its description in RNAcentral is "bacterial SSU rRNA". It matches the Rfam family "Bacterial small subunit ribosomal RNA", at positions 770 to 1372 of the family's 1533-position model. The record is from RNAcentral.